Molecule: ribosomal RNA, 479 nt
Filed under: uncultured bacterium
Lineage: Bacteria
Description: partial 16S ribosomal RNA
Rfam family: Bacterial small subunit ribosomal RNA
Source: RNAcentral
GGGGGGGGGGGGGGGGGGGGGGGGGUGGGGUUGGCGGGGGGGGGGAGGGCCGGGGGGAGCGGGGGAGCGGCGUAGGGGUGGGUAGCACGGGUGCAACCGACCUGUAUCUGGGGGAUAGCCUUGCGACAGGGAGGGUAAUACCCCAUAAUAUACUGAUUGGCAUCAAGUAGGAUUGAAAACUCCGGUGGAUAGAGAUGGGCACGCGCAAGAUUAGAUAGUUGGUGAGGUAACGGCUCACCAAGUCAAUGAUCUUUAGGGGUCCUGAGAGGGAGAUCCCCCACACUGGUACUGAGACACGGACCAGACUCCUACGGGAGGCAGCAGUGAGGAAUAUUGGACAAUGGGUGAAAGCCUGAUCCAGCCAUCCCGCGUGAAGGAUGACGGUCCUAUGGAUUGUAAACUUCUUUUGUACAGGGAUAAACCUACUCUCGUGAGGGUAGCUGAAGGUACUGUACGAAUAAGCACCGGCUAACUCCGUG